AUGAUUGGUGAGGGCGAUGAUCCCCUCGCUCCUGCGCUUUUCCGGCCGUUGUUUAGUGUUUCACCGGCCGUGUUGCUCCUGUUGGUUGACAUCGGCGAUGCCGGGCGGGCACCAGCGGAUGCAUACUGUGCUGAUGAAUCAUGCAGCAGCAGAACGCCGUUGCUUGCUUGCUUGCUUUGCAUUGCUCACAACCUCACCGGUGAUGGCGAUGAUGCUGCCGCUGAAGAAGAGGACAUGGAUGGAUGGCUGGCCGAUUGGGACGUUGCAUGGGCAUGGGAAAGGAAAGUCUCUCCCCAGUUUUGUUUUCCAAUGACGAUGGUGAUGAAGACGUGCUGGAUGGAUGGAGAAAAAUAG
This 354-nucleotide ribosomal RNA is filed under the name Triticum aestivum (bread wheat). Its description in RNAcentral is "partial small subunit ribosomal RNA". The record is from RNAcentral. Lineage: Eukaryota; Viridiplantae; Streptophyta; Magnoliopsida; Poales; Poaceae.